Molecule: ribosomal RNA, 207 nt
Filed under: uncultured delta proteobacterium
Lineage: Bacteria; Deltaproteobacteria
Description: partial 16S ribosomal RNA
Rfam family: Bacterial small subunit ribosomal RNA
Source: RNAcentral
CGCGCAGGCGGGUCAGCAAGUCAGAUGUGAAAUCUCGGGGCUUAACCCCGAAACUGCGUCUGAAACUACUAACCUAGAAUAUCGGAGAGGAAGAUGGAAUUUCGCAUGUAGGGGUAAAAUCCGUAGAGAUGCGAAGGAACACCAGAGGCGAAAGCGAUUUUCUGGACGAUUAUUGACGCUGAGGCGCGAAAGCGUGGGGAGCAAACA